UCCCUUAUUCCUGAUUUCCUCUUGGACCAUAUAUGUGAUAUAAAAUCUCUCUCACGUGCAAAUCGUGUGCACACACCAACGCACAAAAGUCCUAGCCUGCAUCACCUCCCUCUAGCAUUAUCUACCUAUGGCCAACAUCGUCUUCCUCCCGCGACCUCCUGAGGCCUCCCUUCAAUGGCGUCUCCCUCCCGUGGCCUCCCUCCAGCAUCACCUCCCUCCCGCGGCCUCCAAUGUCCACCCCGACCUCCCUCCCGCGACCUCUAGCGGCCCUCUCCCGUGACCUCCUUUCCGCGGCCUCUAGCGACCUCAGCGACCUUCCUCCCUAGCACUAUGUGGAAGAAAGCGAGGACUUUUUUUGCAUUUAGGUGAUCGUGAUUGAAAAAUUUCUCAUUUAUUAUUACAAUUUCGAUUCCCUUUUAGGAUUGAGAGGAGGACUAGCGCUGAAGGAGCCCUGAGUUGAUCAAAGCAUCAGCGACCAGCUCGCUCUCAAGAAAGCUGAAGAAGCUGCUUCAAGAAGUACCAAGCGGCAAAAUGGCCAAGGCAAAUGGAUUAGGGAGUAGCGGAAACCCUGCCAAAAGAGUCGACAGAGGAGGAAUUUUUGGCCGACAGAGGAGGAAUUCUGCUUGUCUCUGUGCAAUGGACUCAUACUGUGCAACGUCCUCAACCUAGUAAAUCCAAGCACUAUGCCGAAGGUUUUCCUCUACCUUUGUCUUUAUCAAACUCGCUACGAGGAUGUAGUUGAAUACAAUGAUAUUCUGAAUAAUGGGAAUAAUAAUCAUGUAACUAUGUAGUUGAGUGAUGAAAUAUAUUUAUUGAAUAGGAAAUUUAGAGUUGCUAUCA
Zingiber officinale is the source of this 840-nucleotide long non-coding RNA. RefSeq lists it as uncharacterized. The transcript has 2 exons. Lineage: Eukaryota; Viridiplantae; Streptophyta; Magnoliopsida; Zingiberales; Zingiberaceae. The record is from RefSeq and is a predicted model, not a curated record.